GGAACUUGUAAAUGCUUUUUAAUUAGCACAAUAUGUAAGGGAGCAGACUGAUGACCAGUUUGGUAGCUCGUGCACGAUGUCGAUGUCGCUGUAUGGUCUGACGUUACCGUUUUCUCUGAUUUUUGUCUUGACUUUCCAAAUUCCACGAAGAAUGUUCGUGUCUGUCGAGAUGGUAAGUGGGUGCAAAAUUCUUAAGUCUUAUAGCCUUACUGAGGUCACCUCAAGCUCCACUCUGAAGGAUAUUUUUGAGAGUUUUAAGGGGAUCGAAGCGUCAUCUGCAACAUCAGCCGACAUUUAAAGGAAAAAAAAGUAGUGCCGAGUGUAGUCGCACGUAGUAGUCGCGAACAUAAGUCGCUGAAUAACAACUAGUCAACGAUUGUCAUGACUACCUAUACCAUUUGGUAUUGGUGACUAGGUGACUAGGUGCACUAGUCUCCCAAGCCUAGCGCAUAGCACCUGAGGCGAAUCCAAGAAGGCUAUGCGCCCCGCAAGAUGCGCAUAGCACCCUCGGCUUCGCCUCAGGUGCAUAUCCCACAUCACAGCAGUCAACAAUUGUUUUGUUAUCUUGUCUUGUUGCAAUACUGCCCAACACCCCUAAAUAUAGGGGCCAACCGGGCCGGGUUCGAUGCGCUUGAUGAAAUAGCGGAGAGAGUGUUGAGUUAUUUGCUGGCUUAGGUAGUUGUGUACUGCUUCUUUGAAGUUAUUCUUGGAUUGUAGUGAUGGUUUCUGGAAAAGCGUUCCAAUUGACGAUCGUGCGGGCGAUGAAGGCAAAUUUAUAACAGUUUUCAUUGGUAGUGAUGGGUAUGAAGCUGUUGGAAGCUGGUGAUGUGUGUCUUACAUGUACAUUGUACAUGUAGAUUCCUUUCGACCAGACGCAGGAUGUUUUGCACUGGUACGGCGAGGCGACCUGCGAUCGCUUGUUGGAAGUUUGUGAGACGACAUACUUUUCUUCUCUGUUGUAGAUCUUCCCAGUUUAAGUCCUUUUCCAUUGCUGUGACACUACUUUUACGUCCAUAGUCCCCUGUGACGAAUCUAGCGGCCCUGUUUUGAAUUGCUUCCAGUUGGUCUAUGAGCUUUUUGGUAUGGGGUGCCAUACUGAGGAACAGCAGUCCAGUAUUGGUCUGACCAGGGUUUUAUAUGAGAUUUCUUUGAUAUGUAGCCCGUGAUUCUGUGGAAUGGCGCCCUCUGGGGUUGCGCGGCAAAAGUGUGCUUGUGCAUUGUUCGCCAUUUUGUCUGCGCGUUUUUCAACGUGUUCUCUGAAAAGUACGAGAGAUUUGUUCGAAAAAGUGCUUUAAGAGUGACUUAUUCAGUCUGUGGCUCUCAGAAUACGAGGAGGAAGUUCUCCUAAGUCAUAAGACCUGGGGUAGCAGUGUCCGUGUCCCUAUCAGCAGAGACGAGCUGAGAGGCUGUUGUCGACGGCGGCCAACCCGAGUACUGGCUUCACACUGUGCGGCGAGUUCAGCAGACACUGAGUUACCAUGGUUACAGGUCAGCAUUAGAUGACUGUCGUGUGAUUGUGGAUGAAGAGGAUUCAUCGAUUGUCUCCAGCCUGUCCAGAGCUACGGUGGAGUGAGACCAAAAUUGACACCCGUCAACUGAACUCUCAGAAGUUCCACGAACUAUUGGGAUCGACUCAGUCUUGAACUGAGGACUGCCAGACGUAACCGGUCCCGAACAGUUACUUUAAUAUUAGUGUACACACACACCGAGUGAGUUCCCGGGAACAAACAACUACAUGUACAUGUAUAGGGCCUGGUCGACCAUAUCCUGUUUUUUUUUGGAAACAUUGUAUUGCAUUUUUAUUGUACUGUUGUUGUGAGAGUUGUUCUAAGAAAUAACUAAGAAUAAAGAUUGAUUGUUUGAGAUCAUUCCAUA
This is a long non-coding RNA of Patiria miniata (bat star), 1875 nucleotides long. RefSeq lists it as uncharacterized. The record is from RefSeq and is a predicted model, not a curated record. Lineage: Eukaryota; Metazoa; Echinodermata; Asteroidea; Valvatida; Asterinidae. The transcript has 2 exons.